RNAcentral lists this ribosomal RNA (300 nucleotides) under uncultured Thermosipho sp. Its description in RNAcentral is "bacterial SSU rRNA". It matches the Rfam family "Bacterial small subunit ribosomal RNA", at positions 496 to 795 of the family's 1533-position model. The record is from RNAcentral. Lineage: Bacteria; Thermotogati; Thermotogota; Thermotogae; Thermotogales; Fervidobacteriaceae.
GCUGAUUUCUGUGCAUCGGCGAGGGUAAUACGGAGUGGGCGAUGUGUAAUCCGAAAUACUGGGCGUAAGUGGCGCGUAGGCGUCUAUUUGAGUCUGAUGGUGAAGUCCCGAGCUCAACCUUGGAAUUGCAUCGAGUACUGUGGAUGUGGAAUGCGGUAGAGGGGAGUGGAAUUCCAGGUGUAGCGGUGAAAUGCGUAGAUAUCUGAAUGAACACCAGUGGCGAAGGCGGCCCCCUGGACUGACAUUGACGCUGAGGUGCGAAAGCGUGGGGAUCAAACAGGAUUAGAUACCCUAGUAGUC